GGAAUUGACGGGGCCGCACAGCGGUGGAGCAUGUGGUUUAAUUCGAAGCAAGCGAAGAACCUUACCAGGUCUUGACAUCCCGAUGCUAUUUCUAGAGAUAGAAAGUUUACUUCGGUACAUCGGUGACAGGUGGUGCAUGGUUGUCGUCAGCUCGUGCCGUGAGGUGUUAGGUUAAGUCCUGCAACGAGCGCAACCCUCGUCGCUAGUUAAAUUUUUCUAGCGAUACUGCCCGUAAAACGAGGAGGAAGGUGGGGAUGACGUCAAGUCAGCAUGGCCCUUACGCCUUGGGCUACACACACGCUACAAUGGGUGAUACAACGGGUUGCGAGAGAGCGAUCUGGAGCUAAUCCCUAAAAUCAUCCUCAGUUCGGAUUGCAGGCUGAAACUGCCUGCAUGAAGUUGGAGUUGCUAGUAACCGCAGGUCAGCACACUGCGGUGAAUACGUUCUCGGGCCUU
This 456-nucleotide ribosomal RNA is filed under the name uncultured Chloroflexota bacterium. RNAcentral's name for it is "bacterial SSU rRNA". It matches the Rfam family "Bacterial small subunit ribosomal RNA", at positions 906 to 1382 of the family's 1533-position model. Lineage: Bacteria; Bacillati; Chloroflexota. The record is from RNAcentral.